UUUCGUCUUCCCGACGCUGUCUUGUGCACCUGUACGCUUCCCUGAUUUUCUUUUAUUAUUUUAUUUGUUUUAGUCCUCUUUGUCUCUCUCGUGGAAAUUUCAGGCUGAAAGCUGAAUGAAAACUUUCAUCAGUAACCCUAGGUCUCUACUUGCUAUUCAAUCUCAAUAGUUAAUCGAAUCCAUCUCUGCGUUUUCUGCUAUACACCCGCACAUAUAUACAUACACACCCGCGUAUCUGCGUAUAUACGCACAUCUAUAUGCGCAGAUGGAGAGAAUAGUUGGCGACAAGUAUAAGCUGGGUCGGAAGAUCGGGAGCGGUUCCUUUGGAGAAAUCUUUUUAGCUACUCAUAUCGAUACCUUUGAGAUCGUUGCUGUUAAGAUGGAAAAUAGGCAGACUAAUCAUCCCCAGUUGCUUUACGAGGCUAAGCUGUAUAAUAUACUUCAGGGAGGAGGUGGAAUUCCUAACAUAAAAUGGUGCGGGGUUGAUGGAAAUGAUAAUGUCCUUGUUAUCGAUUUGCUUGGACCCAGUCUUGAAGACCUUUUUGUGUACUGUGGGAGGAAAUUCUCUCUAAAAACUGUUCUUAUGUUGGCUGAUCAGAUGAUUACCAGAAUAGAGUAUGUACAUUCAAAAGGAUUUUUGCACAGAGACAUCAAACCAGAUAACUUUCUCAUGGGCCUUGGAAGGAAGGCAAAUCAGGUCUACAUCAUUGAUUUUGGACUUGCCAAAAGAUAUCGUGAUCCCACUACCAACAGGCACAUUCCUUACAGAGAUAACAAAAACCUCACUGGGACUGCACGAUAUGCAAGUUGCAACACUCAUUUGGGAAUAGAACAAAGUCGGCGGGAUGAUUUGGAGUCUCUUGGCUAUGUUCUCUUGUACUUCCUGAGAGGGAGCCUUCCAUGGCAGGGUCUAAAAGCUGCAACAAAGAAGCAAAAAUAUGACAAGAUAUGUGAGAAAAAGUUAUCAACGCCAAUUGAGGUUCUGUGCAAAUCUCAUCCAGUGGAGUUUGCGUCAUAUAUGCACUAUUGUCACUCCUUGUCAUUUGAUCAGCGACCUGAUUAUGGAUUCCUGAAGCGCUUGUUUCGUGAAUUAUUUACUCGUGAAGGAUAUGAAUCUGAUUACGUGUUUGAUUGGACCAUUUUGAAGUAUCAGCAGUCGCAGAAGUCAAAGGCACAGCUUCAAUCACCUCAUCCACAGCCAAUUUCUGCAGUGACCAGUACACGAGCAUUGCCAAAGGAUUUAAACACACGGCAAGUUGAAACUACAGCACAAAGUGGAUCAACUAGUUUUGCACGUCCUGCUGGUCACAUUCCCUUUAAGCCUAGGGCUGUUCAUAAUCUCAAUUCUGAUAAUCUGACUACAAAAAAUAUUGCGAGCAACGCACCUGCUCCAUCUAUUUCACUUGCUGAUGCCUUUAAGAGUAGUCCCCCUAGACAAGAGGAUUCAACUGAAGCUGGAAAUAUUGCUCGUGGGCAGAGCAGCAGAGCUGGUGCAUCAAGCAGCAGGCUACCAUUCUUACAUCGGAUUUCAUCAGCAAAGUGAAUUGGUAUUAAGUCUUGCAGACAUGAGGGGAUCUAAGGAGGGGAGUAUAUGCAUAUAUUGAUCAAUUCUCUGAAGUUGGAUUCACUUGAACCUGAGUCUACAAGAUUUCUUAUGUAUUUAUCUUAAGUUUUAACCUAGGUACUCAGGUCCUUGAGAGUUUGAAUCAGCAAUUGGCCAGUAAGCCUUGAGAUGUGAUCACUGUUCAAUAUUUGAAGAUCGACAGAGUGUUCCCGUUACAAAUCAAGCCUUGAUUUCCGUAGAAACCAAUUAUGUGCAUGCUGGUGAAGAGUUCAGUCUGGCAUCGGCAAAUGAGCAGGAGUAUGUCACAUCAUUAAUCACUGGUGGAUGGCAUCAAACUUUUUGGUAAAGUUAUCCAACAUUUUCUUCUUUAAAUGGGUAAAUAAAAUAUCCAAUUUACAGGGUUGUUUGUGGCUCAAAAGAUCAACUCAAAAAGGCAAUGAUAGUCAGUCAGAUCAAUUGAAAGGGUUUUUGCACAGGUGAAAGAGAUCUACAUAGGUAUGACCUUUACGUGUGUUUAUUCGGCAAGGCUAACAUCAUGGAAUUGCUUAUCGGGGUGCAAUAUAUAUGUUUUUUUUUUUUUUUUUUUUUUUGGGGUUAGACUACGAUGUAUCCUGAGUAGACCCCAAGUAUCAGGGGCACCUUUAAGCUUGUACCAUACCCAGACUAAUCCUGGUUUGCACCGGGUCAACCUAAUUAAGGGGUAAAUUGCUGGAUAUAUUGGUUUUUCCCAUACGAGAGUGGGUUUUGAAUUUCCGACCUCUUAAGGGAUGAGAGUGCACUGUCAUUCACGCUAAUCAAGUUGGUGCAAUAUUUAUGUUGUGUUUGUGCUGGUUGCAA
Ipomoea triloba (trilobed morning glory) is the source of this 2401-nucleotide RNA transcript. It is a transcript of the gene named casein kinase 1-like protein 3, with no coding region annotated. The transcript has 18 exons. The record is from RefSeq and is a predicted model, not a curated record. Lineage: Eukaryota; Viridiplantae; Streptophyta; Magnoliopsida; Solanales; Convolvulaceae.